CGAGUGAAGCGGCAAGAGCUCAAAUUUGAAAGCUGGCUCCUUCGGGGUCCGCAUUGUAAUUUGCAGAGGAUGCUUCGGGAGCGGUCCCCAUCUAAGUGCCCUGGAACGGGACGUCAUAGAGGGUGAGAAUCCCGUAUGGGAUGGGGUGUCCGCGCCCGUGUGAAGCUCCUUCGACGAGUCGAGUUGUUUGGGAAUGCAGCUCUAAAUGGGUGGUAAAUUUCAUCUAAAGCUAAAUAUUGGCCGGAGACCGAUAGCGCACAAGUAGAGUGAUCGAAAGAUGAAAAGCACUUUGAAAAGAGAGUUAAAAAGCACGUGAAAUUGUUGAAAGGGAAGCGCUUGCGACCAGACUCGCUCGCGGGGUUCAGCCGGCAUUCGUGCCGGUGUACUUCCCCGCGGGCGGGCCAGCGUCGGUUUGGGCGGUCGGUCAAAGGCCCUCGGAAGGUAACGCCCCUAGGGGCGUCUUAUAGCCGAGGGUGCAAUGCGACCUGCCUAGACCGAGGAACGCGCUUCGGCUCGGACGCUGGCAUAAUGGUCGUAAGCGACCCGUCUUGAAACACGGACCAAGGAGUCUAACAUCUACGCGAGUGUUCGGGUGUCAAACCCGUGCGCGAAGUGAAAGCGAACGGAGGUGGGAACCCUUACGGGUGCACCAUCGACCGAUCCUGAAGUCUUCGGAUGGAUUUGAGUAAGAGCGUAGCUGUUGGGACCCGAAAGAUGGUGAACUAUGCCUGAAUAGGGCGAAGCCAGAGGAAACUCUGGUGGAGGCUCGUAGCGGUUCUGACGUGCAAAUCGAUCGUCGAAUUUGGGUAUAGGGGCG
This 817-nucleotide ribosomal RNA is filed under the name Penicillium expansum. RNAcentral describes it as "eukaryotic LSU rRNA". It matches the Rfam family "Eukaryotic large subunit ribosomal RNA", at positions 90 to 925 of the family's 3401-position model. Lineage: Eukaryota; Fungi; Ascomycota; Eurotiomycetes; Eurotiales; Aspergillaceae. The record is from RNAcentral.